RNAcentral lists this transfer RNA (69 nucleotides) under Pelecinus polyturator. Its description in RNAcentral is "tRNA-Thr". The record is from RNAcentral. Lineage: Eukaryota; Metazoa; Arthropoda; Insecta; Hymenoptera; Pelecinidae.
AGUUAUAUAGUUUAAUUAAAACUUUAAUAUUGUAAAUUAAAAAUAUAUAUAUUUAUUAUAUAAUAACUU